Molecule: long non-coding RNA, 749 nt
Filed under: Rattus norvegicus (Norway rat)
Lineage: Eukaryota; Metazoa; Chordata; Mammalia; Rodentia; Muridae
Description: long non-coding RNA NONRATT009815
Source: RNAcentral
AUUGUCAUCAGAAUCGCAUCAUGGUGGCUCUCCUAUACAUUGGGUGCUUCCAGCAGGAAUGAGUGCUAAAAUGCUUGGAGGUGUUUUUAAAAUUGACUGGAUUUGCAGGCGUGAAUUACCCUUUACUAAGUCAGCUCAUCUCACCAAUCCCUGGAAUGAACAUAAGCCAGUAAAGAUUGGACGUGAUGGACAGGAAAUUGAACUUGAAUGUGGAACCCAGCUUUGUCUUCUGUUUCCCCCUGAUGAAAGUAUUGACUUGUAUCAGCUCAUUCAUAAAAUGCGUCACAAGAGAAGAAUGCAUUCUCAGCCUCGAUCAAGAGGACGUCCAUCCCGUCGAGAACCAGUCCGGGAUGUGGGAAGGUUAGAAACGUUCUUUGGACUGAUAAUAGGCACAUGUAUCGGGAUAACAUGAUGGAGGAAUGUGAUUCGUCAAAAGUUUGUCCUGCGGUAAAGAAGAAAGAGAAAAUCCUCAAAUCAAGCUGCAUGGACUAGUUUGUGGCUUCAUUGAGGAUUUCACAUGGUCACCUUGGUCUCAGUCAUUUUUUUCAAGAGGAAAAUGGGGAUCUUUCCUAAUGCAGAAAAAAAUAAUUUACUAACAAGUGAUGGCCAGUUUAGACUAGAUAGUCUCUCUGAUAAUAAAUACAGCAAGUGAAACGAGGUAGGCAUUUUGUUGCUAAGAACAGGCUAGAAAGGAUGAAGAGGAAGUCUUUAUUUGCAAAAAUUGUUAAUAUUUUAUAAAGCCUUUUCUU